This 24-nucleotide non-coding RNA is filed under the name Gossypium hirsutum (cotton). The record is from RNAcentral. Lineage: Eukaryota; Viridiplantae; Streptophyta; Magnoliopsida; Malvales; Malvaceae.
ACAGCCGGAGUAUGAUGCACUAAU